This 372-nucleotide ribosomal RNA is filed under the name uncultured organism. RNAcentral describes it as "bacterial SSU rRNA". It matches the Rfam family "Bacterial small subunit ribosomal RNA", at positions 526 to 896 of the family's 1533-position model. The record is from RNAcentral.
CGUAGGGAGCAAGCGUUGUUCGGAUUUACUGGGCGUAAAGGGCGCGUAGGCGGCAAAUCAAGUCAGCUGUGAAAUCUCCGAGCUUAACUCGGAACGGUCAGCUGAUACUGCUUUGCUAGAGUGCGGAAGGGCAAUCGGAAUUCUUGGUGUAGCGGUGAAAUGCGUAGAUAUCAAGAGGAACACCUGAGGUGAAGACGGGUUGCUGGGCCGACACUGACGCUGAGGCGCGAAAGCCAGGGGAGCAAACGGGAUUAGAUACCCCGGUAGUCCUGGCCUUAAACGAUGAAUACUUGGUGUCUGGAGUCUCUAUAGCUCCGGGUGCCGUCGCUAACGUUUUUAGUAUUCCGCCUGGGGAGUACGCACGCAAGUGUG